GAUGAACGCUGGCGGCGUGCCUAAUACAUGCGAGUCGAGCGAACAGACGAGGAGCUUGCUCCUCUGACGUUAGCGGCGGACGGGUGAGUAACACGUGGAUAACCUACCUAUAAGACUGGGAUAACUUCGGGAAACCGGAGCUAAUACCGUAUAAUAUAUUGAACCGCAUGGUUCAAUAGUGAAAGACGGUUUUGCUGUCACUUAUAGAUGGAUCCGCGCCGCAUUAGCUAGUUGGUAAGGUAACGGCUUACCAAGGUAACGAUGCGUACCCGACCUGAGAGGGUGAUCGGCCACACUAGAACUGGAGGACGGUCCGAGCUCCUACGGGGUGCAACAGUAGGGAGUCUUCCGCAUUAGGCGAAGGCUUGUCGGAGCUGCGCGGCGUGAGUGAUGAAGGUCUUCGGAUCGUAAAACUCUGUUAUUAGAGAUGAACAAGUGUGUAAGUAACUAUGCACGUCUUGACGGUACCUAAUCAGAGAGCCACGGCUAACUACGUG
RNAcentral lists this ribosomal RNA (497 nucleotides) under uncultured bacterium. RNAcentral's name for it is "partial 16S ribosomal RNA". It matches the Rfam family "Bacterial small subunit ribosomal RNA", at positions 28 to 507 of the family's 1533-position model. The record is from RNAcentral.